GAGCAGCCCGGGCCGCCGCUCGCCGCCCACCCUUGCCCUCAGCCUAGCGCCCCGUGGACCCUCCACCCCAAAUCGAAGCUGGACACCCGGGGCGGGGGCUGGAGGACCUUUGGAGCUUAGCACCCCAACCCCCACGUUUCACCCGUGUCCCAGAGGGGUUUCACAAAGUCUGUUUCUUGCAAGACAUCGUGCUAAACAAGAAAGCCAAGAGAUGACGGUGGCCUGUCUGUCUUGUCAAAGCCAGGAGAAGCUCCUGAACCUGCAGCAGUUGCCUGGGUGGUGUGCGCCGCUGCUCUGCAAGACCAGUGUGCAGCCACUGUUGAUUGAGUUGAGUCACCAAGCACAGCAUGGGAUUUGAUUAGGGCCGGAGACCACAGCAGUUGGCUUCACUGGAUCCCUUUAUCCCCGAAAGCUCAGUCAGUGGUCUGCAUGAGUGUAACUAAAAGAAAUCUAUCUGUGACAGCUUCUAAAAAUCAGACAAGUUCUGCUUCAGAGACACAGAUUGCUACCCCUCUGAGCACUCAAGCUCCUCCUGCAUGUUAUGUGUGCUGUGUCUGGAAUCGCACUUGCCUACGAGUUUAAUGGUUUUAGUGACUACAGAGAACAAAGACUCUUGGAGGUGAACUCGAUCAAGUCAUUCUCAGAUGAUCCUCUCAUGAGGUCCCUUGUGCUCACAGAGGGGUGGCUGUAUAUGACAGAUGUGCAGCCAUUCUUAUUCUGCAAAGACCCCCAGAGAAGCCACGUAAUGACUUCAGGAGACAUUUCAAAGUGCUAAAGCUCUCUUCCUCUCCUUCCUUAUGUGUAACUGGGAAGGUAUAACUCUAUGUGUAAUUUGAGAAUUAGUGUUUGCUUCAGAGAAAGUUGUGUGUGUGUGUGUGUGUGUGUGUGUGUGCAUACAUAUGUGGUACUGCCCCCAUGGACUGAUGUCAGCGAUAGAAGAUGGGUCUGGAGCCUUGGCACCAUCAUAAUCCCAUUCCAAGAGAGUCCCAAGUUGAGCUCUAUCCUUGGGAUAACCAAUUUCCUUUCAUUAAGCUACCUAACGAACCUUGAGGGUGAGGACCAGUAUGAGCAUCUGGCUAGUCUUGACCUUAAGGUUGACUCAAGUUCAAGAAAUGCACUCAACAGGAUGGGCAAUCGAUGGAUGGGAACAUUUUAUGUACUUAUUAAGUAAUUCCCUCUUCAUAGGGAUACUAUUCUCCAAGAGUUUAGAAGAAAUGCAUGACUGGAGAGUUAGACAAGAAUUUUUGGAGUGAAGGACUCUUCUGUUGAGAACUUCCCACAACAGGGGUGUGAUAGGCCAAGCUCAGGUCCUUCCUUGUGAAUUCUAGGAAAAGUCGUGCCUGGGAUUUUCUCCUCCCUUUCUCCUCAUGUGUAUGAAGGCAAGUCAAUGAAGAAAGCAUAGCCCUGUCAACAAAUGGUCAUGGAAUAAUUGAACAUCUGUAUGUUAAAAAUAAAAGCCUUGAUCUAUA
Molecule: long non-coding RNA, 1469 nt
Organism: Heterocephalus glaber (naked mole-rat)
Lineage: Eukaryota; Metazoa; Chordata; Mammalia; Rodentia; Bathyergidae
Source: RefSeq, a predicted model, not a curated record